UUGUCCUUUGGCAGCAGGCGGAAGCGCUUUGGGACAAACAUUAAGUUUGCCAGCAGGCUAGAUGUGAAGAGCACGAGGUUUGCCGCUGGAACAAAUGGGACGAGGUGGAGAGUCACUUUUAAAAGUUAUUCUGUGACUGAUGAGUUUUUUAUUGGACAGGCCGAAAAGCCACAGAGUCUCAACAUUUAGAUGAGACAUGUCAACAAUGUAAGUGGACAGAGACCUCUUGUGACUGAUGAGAAAACAAUAACAAGGACAAUGGGCUCCAUAGACUCCAGACCCAGACUGCGUAAAGUUGCCCCAUGUAAUAGUUUGCAAGAAAAUGGAGAUGAGUCCAAACCACAGUGGACCCUCCCUGCUCUCCCACUGACAACGGAGCAGCCAUCAGGACCUUUGGGACGGAGGAAGACGACUUUACCUCCACUGAAACAAGAAAUAACUCUUUCUUCCCUCUCAGAACCGCGCUCUGCAGGAACCUUCCCAUCAAAACAAAGCGACAAUUCAAGCAUCAUUCAUUCUCAUCCCCCCAGAAGACCCCAGGCACUGCAACCGCUGGCCCUUCAAAUUGGCCACACACGCACUGCCAAUCAAAUUGCCAUGGUAAUGAAAAAAAAAGAAAAAUAUCUCUCUGACUGUCCCAGUAUCACCCUCAUGCCAUCUCAGAAUCCAGUAAGGAAUUUUGAUGUUUGUUGUAGGGCAGGAACUGCAGAGAUGGGGAUGUCCACCAGUUUUUUACAACCGGCCAGACAGGCACCAGCAGAAUGAUUCAGGGAGGAUUUCUGGAGGCCCAGAUAUCUCUCACUCAACAGACUCAUCAGCAUCGUCA
Molecule: long non-coding RNA, 826 nt
Organism: Amphiprion ocellaris (clown anemonefish)
Lineage: Eukaryota; Metazoa; Chordata; Actinopteri; Pomacentridae
Source: Ensembl